This 273-nucleotide long non-coding RNA is filed under the name Chinchilla lanigera (long-tailed chinchilla). RNAcentral describes it as "lncRNA (ENSCLAG00000027946.1)". The record is from RNAcentral. Lineage: Eukaryota; Metazoa; Chordata; Mammalia; Rodentia; Chinchillidae.
AUGAGAAGGUGGCAUGGCUACAGGAAGCCCCUGGCCUUAGCAGCUUUCCUGAUGACACUCCAAAACCAAGCAACAGCGAGGGAUGAAGAACAGCAUGACGCUGAAGCAUCACUCCCUUGCUCCAUCCUAAAGUUUGGCCAGAAAUCUCAAUCAGGAAGUACAUACUCCAUCCCUGGAGGGACCAAAGAGGCCCUUAUCUGGAGCACACUCAAGAUGCAGUUGCUGCCACAAAAGCCCAGCUGGCUGCUGAUGGCAGGGAUUCCGGUGCCCUAA